Molecule: transfer RNA, 70 nt
Filed under: Ryssota otaheitana
Lineage: Eukaryota; Metazoa; Mollusca; Gastropoda; Stylommatophora; Chronidae
Description: tRNA-Leu
Source: RNAcentral
UUUGUUAUGGCAGACUUAUGCCCUGGCUUUAAGUGCCAGUAAUAGAUUUUUUUAUUUAAUCUUAACAAAU